Molecule: long non-coding RNA, 1598 nt
Filed under: Volvox carteri
Lineage: Eukaryota; Viridiplantae; Chlorophyta; Chlorophyceae; Chlamydomonadales; Volvocaceae
Description: long non-coding RNA (VCAR_LNC002918)
Source: RNAcentral
CGGCCGGACCGUGUACGAUUUCCGACCGGCCACCGCAGAUUUCGGGCCGAAAAGAUGCUCCCCAAUGCCCCCUAGUGCUAAAGUAUAACCAUAGGUAGCGUUUGGAGCUGUCAAGCCGACGCGCGCGGCCGGUCUUUGCGUAUGUUUGGGUUGCUUUGAGACACAUUGAGAGUCUCAAUGUGUCUCAAUUUGAGAUCAAUUUGUGUAUCUGUGUCUCAAUUUGAGACACAGAUACACAUGUGUACGCGCAAGUGGACAAGUCGGGUGUCGGCUUCCUCGAAGCCGGAAAAAGGGCGGGCCCCCCCUGCAUCCGUACAGGCCGGUAGCUAGCACGGCACGUGUGACAAUUGAUGGGUAGUGUCACUGCGGUGGGAGAUGUGCUUUGUUGCAGCAGUAUUGAUGGUGUGGGAGCUAAGCUCGCACCGGCGGAAUCGUCAGCACCGCCUGCGGGCUCCACGCGAAUCGCAUCCAUCCCAGGUGCAUGCCGCAUGGACAGUGCGGCAGACCGCAAGUCGGAAUGCCCGUGCGGGCAAAUUGAUAACGCAAGCUGAGUGAAGUUCGGUGCUGUCUGUGAUGUUUAUCCCCGAAGCGCCAGCGGCCUCAGCAAUCCGCCCCACAGCCGCGAGCUUCAUCGCGGCACACCGCAAGUCUCGGAGGCCCCGUGCAUUGGCCAAAGUAAAUGUACAAACAAGCAGCUUGUGUAUUUCAUAUAGAAAUGCAAGCAAAUUUGUUGGCCUGCUGGUGGCAUGUCGGAUUGCUCAUGCCGGCAAAUGGUAACACAAGCUGGGUGUUCGAGUUAUCAUACGCCGUCAUCUCAGAAUUCCAUUAUGAGAUACGCGGCAGCUUUCGGGAUGAAAUUUAGCGCGAGAGGCGUUGAUGUGACUUUUGAGGUCGGUGAAUGGAGGCAGCUAAACUUGUUUGUGCUCAUACGGUCUUUGUAAGCUACAUGCGAGAUACCUUGCAGUAGAGAAUGCUGUAUAGUACCGAUAACGCGUUUCAGCCGGGUGAAAUAUUAUGUUUGAUCCGUUACACACUCAAGGCAUGGGAGUUCGAGUUGUCAUACGCCGUCAUCUAAGAAUUCAAAUAUGAGAUACGCGGUACCUUUCGGGAUGAAAUUUAGCGCGAGAGGCGUUGAUGUGACUUUGGCCUCGGUCAAUUGAGGCAGCCAAACUUGUUUGUGCUCAUACGAUUUUUGUUGGCUACAUGCGAGAUACCUUGCAAUAGAGAAUGCUGUAUAGUACCUACAACGCGUUUCAGCCGGGCGAGAUAUUAUGUUUGGUCCGUUACACACACACACACACACACACACACACGGACAUGGGCAAUCCUACAGGUCGGGGCCCCCCUGGGCGCUUCGCGCUGGGGCCCCGCCCCAAAAAAAUGAGCAAAGUAGUAUUUUCUGUUUCCUUUUCUUUGGAGCUGGAAGUGGGACACCCUUCCAGUCCGUAAUACCUAAGACCUCGAGUUACAAUGAAGUUCGAUGACAUUUUGGUAAUGGUAACACCUAAUACUGGAUUCACAUGCUACGUUACGUUGCGAAAACUUUUUGGGAAAAGUGGGCCUGAGAAAGUCACCCAGUUCACAUGGGACAUUACGAC